GAUGAAGAACGUAGCGAAAUGCGAUACGUAAUGUGAAUUGCAGAUUUCAGUGAAUCAUCGAAUCUUUGAACGCACAUUGCGCCCGCUAGUAUUCUGGCGGGCAUGCCUGUUCGAGGGUCAUUUCAACCAUCAAGCCCUAGGCUUGCGUUGGAGCCCUGCGGCUGCCGCAGGCUCCCAAAUCCAGUGGCGGGCUCGUCGUCGUACCGAGUGCAGUAAACAUCCUCGCUCAGGGAACGUGACGGGUUCUUGCCGUGAAACCCCCCACAUAUCAAGGUUGACCUCGGAUCAGGUAGGAAUACCCGCUGAACUUAAGCAUAUCAAUAAGCGGAGGA
This 332-nucleotide unclassified non-coding RNA is filed under the name soil metagenome. RNAcentral's name for it is "partial contains 5.8S ribosomal RNA, internal transcribed spacer 2, and large subunit ribosomal RNA". The stretch from base 1 to 120 matches the Rfam family "5.8S ribosomal RNA", at positions 35 to 154 of the family's 154-position model. The record is from RNAcentral.